UCGCCUGUUUGCAGUUUCGGGACUAUUUCUUAUUAUCAAACCCCCACCUUGUGCGGCGGUGAGCGGAAUCUAACUAGUUGGAUGGAUGCAUACUAGUACUUCAGGUACUCAAAUGCAAUAAACCACAUAAUCCAUGGAUCUGGCUCGAUUGUGCUUGUGUGGAUACGGAGGUGCAGUGUCUUCACGAGAGUUUAUUUGCACAGGACGGAUCGAGGGGGGGAGUAGGCGUUGGAUCUCCGGGCUCUUAAUUCCAAACACUGCUAGGACGUCUUUUGGUUUUUCUUGUGGAAUGGUGACGCACUUGGUUGUGAGGGGGGUAUGUGUAGCGGGA
This 331-nucleotide small RNA is filed under the name Histoplasma capsulatum var. duboisii H88. Its description in RNAcentral is "Histoplasma capsulatum H88 hypothetical RNA". The record is from RNAcentral. Lineage: Eukaryota; Fungi; Ascomycota; Eurotiomycetes; Onygenales; Ajellomycetaceae.